RNAcentral lists this ribosomal RNA (952 nucleotides) under Trechus secalis. Its description in RNAcentral is "SSU rRNA". It matches the Rfam family "Eukaryotic small subunit ribosomal RNA", at positions 52 to 863 of the family's 1831-position model. The record is from RNAcentral. Lineage: Eukaryota; Metazoa; Arthropoda; Insecta; Coleoptera; Carabidae.
UGCAUGUCUCAGUACAAGCCAUAUUAAGGUGAAACCGCGAAAGGCUCAUUAAAUCAGUUAUGGUUCCUUAGAUCGUACCCACAUUUACUUGGAUAACUGUGGUAAUUCUAGAGCUAAUACAUGCAAACAGAGCUCCGACCGGAGACGGAAGGAGUGCUUUUAUUAGAUCAAAACCAAUCGGCGGCAAUUUAGUUUCGGCUUUAUUGUUCGUCGCACUUUUUGGUGACUCUGAAUAACUUUUGGCUGAUCGCACGGUCUCGCACCGGCGACGCAUCUUUCAAAUGUCUGCCUUAUCAACUGUCGAUGGUAGGUUCUGCGCCUACCAUGGUUGUAACGGGUAACGGGGAAUUAGGGUUCGAUUCCGGAGAGGGAGCCUGAGAAACGGCUACCACAUCCAAGGAAGGCAGCAGGCGCGCAAAUUACCCACUCCCGGCACGGGGAGGUAGUGACGAAAAAUAACGAUACGGGACUCAUCCGAGGCCCCGUAAUCGGAAUGAGUACACUUUAAAUCCUUUAACGAGGACCAAUUGGAGGGUAAGUCUGGUGCCAGCAGCCGCGGUAAUUCCAGCUCCAAUAGCGUAUAUUAAAGUUGUUGCGGUUAAAAAGCUCGUAGUUGAAUUUGUGUCCCGCGCUGUCGGUUCACCGCCCGCGGUGUUUAACUGGCACGUCUCGCGGGACGUCCUGCCGGUGGAUGCGUGCUCUUUGUAUUCUCUCCCUUUAUGUGUGUGCACUUCACGGUGUUACUACAUAUUGUGUGGGGUUUCAUUGUAACACCAUCCGACUAACUAAUCCUGUCGCGGUGCUCUUAAUUGAGUGUCGAGGCGGGCCGGCACGUUUACUUUGAACAAAUUAGAGUGCUCAAAGCAGGCUAAAAUUUCGCCUGAAUAUUGUGUGCAUGGAAUAAUGGAACAGGACCUCGGUUCUAUUUUGUUGGUUUUCGGAACCCCGAGGU